GAUACAUAAGACUGGAUUUCAACUCGGCUGAUGGAAAUCAAAAGGAUAGAGAAUCUGAUUUUACACCAAAGAAAUUGUAGCCAGUUGAGCUUAAGGUUGGUGUAACUUCACUCGGGCAGCUUUGUGAAACGACACCUAUCUCUGUGAAAAACGAUUCUCAUUUCGUGCAUUUUCUUCAAUAUUGUGUUUUCCAUCAAUGCGUUUUAUAAUCAGAUUUAUAAGAUUUUCGUCGUCUUGCAUCACAGUCAUGGCAUUGACUGAAACUAUGAAUUAAUAAUAUAUCUAUUUAGAAGAUUUUAGUAUUAUUAUUAGUGUUGUUGACAGAAACGUCUGUUUUGGGAAAUAAAAAAAAAUGACAUUUUCAGCAUCCCAUUUUAUGUAACGAGAUCGUUCAGAGCCAGACAUAUUAUUUUUUAGACCUCCCAGGAUAUGUACACAGAGACUGAAGUCUUGGUUCCUCUCUAUCGUAUUGGCAAUAGGUAAAGUAUUAAGAAUGAAGGAAUGGUUGAUUUAAUUUUUGCUCUUCAUUGUUGUAAGCACAUACUUUUUUAGUGGAAAUAUUAGAACUCUAAUCAUUAGAGUUGUAAUUUUCAAGUCAGUUGCAAAUUAUGUUGUUUGUUGAAAAUUAAUGGCGACCAGUCAUAUUUGACUAUUACUGCCAACUUGUUAGGCCUUAAGGGAGGCCUAACGAGUAUAAAAUGCAGGACCCUCUUAAGGGAGGGUUCUGCAUUUUAUACAUGUAGGAAGAAACACCAUGCACGGUCAAGACAAGUAGCAAAUGAGGUUCAAUAGGAAGGGUCUAUACUUUUUAAUAUUUCUUGUUUAUUUUCAUCAAACAUUCCAUGUGCAUUGUAUAAAAAAAGCUCAUUAAAACUGACUUUUAGUUGUUUUCUGUACUUUUCGAAACAGGCGAAACCUAACGCAUGGAGGUGUGUUUUAAUGUUAUGUCCGACUACUGAUGUAUCUUGCGGGUUGUUAUUUCAUGUAAAUGUGUACUAUUUAUUGUAUCGAGAUAUAGCAAAGUAGAGUUGCUUUAAUGUACAUUUGGACAUAUCAACAAAGAUUUGCACUAUUGAUUUUUGUAAUUGCCCUGUUUUGAAGAAAAUACAAACCCUGUAUUUAAGCAU
Long non-coding RNA from Lytechinus variegatus (green sea urchin), 1127 nucleotides. RefSeq lists it as uncharacterized. The record is from RefSeq and is a predicted model, not a curated record. NCBI's taxonomy places the organism in Eukaryota, Metazoa, Echinodermata, Echinoidea, Temnopleuroida, Toxopneustidae. The transcript has 2 exons.